This 206-nucleotide ribosomal RNA is filed under the name uncultured bacterium. Its description in RNAcentral is "partial 16S ribosomal RNA". It matches the Rfam family "Bacterial small subunit ribosomal RNA", at positions 568 to 774 of the family's 1533-position model. The record is from RNAcentral.
UGCGUAGGCGGCGCGGUAAGUCGGGUGUGAAAUCUCGGGGCUUAACUCCGAAACUGCAUUCGAUACUGCCGUGCUUGAGGACUGGAGAGGAGACUGGAAUUUACGGUGUAGCGGUGAAAUGCGUAGAUAUCGUAAGGAAGACCAGUGGCGAAGGCGGGUCUCUGGACAGUUCCUGACGCUGAGGCACGAAGGCGGGGGAGCAAACG